RNAcentral lists this non-coding RNA (28 nucleotides) under Mus musculus (house mouse). The record is from RNAcentral. Lineage: Eukaryota; Metazoa; Chordata; Mammalia; Rodentia; Muridae.
UGUGACUUGCCAGUUUUGUUGUGCAAUG